RNAcentral lists this long non-coding RNA (2020 nucleotides) under Zea mays. Its description in RNAcentral is "long non-coding RNA (ZMAY_LNC005484)". The record is from RNAcentral. Lineage: Eukaryota; Viridiplantae; Streptophyta; Magnoliopsida; Poales; Poaceae.
GAUAAUAUUGCAAAAUCCGGCAGCACGUCCUUUGAAACUAGCAUAACAAGGAGGGGAAACAUGUAGUUCAUACAGGAUAUAAAGACAGAUAAUUCACGUAGUAGAAUCUAAAUGCAAAAGUGGUAAAACACAUUCAUGACCCAACAAAAGCAAAAUAAAUGAGAUAAGGAACUCAGCCCACCCCAAAACAAACGCUCAACCAAGAACAAAGUAAUUCACUAGACUUGACCCUCUCUAAUUAACAACAUUAUUAAGUGGGGGUUCCUUUAUUAAAGGUGUAGUGGCCGUGCUGCUACAUCCCUCUUUUCCCAAAGCAGAAAUUAGGUGCCUGCAUCAAACAAUGCAAGAUGUGAGAUGACACAUCUCAGCAAGUAAACAUAACAACAACAAAUUGGACAUUGUAAAUCAACUGUGCUUAAACAACCACGUGGUUCAAAACUUCCUUUUUGAACAUUAAAUUGCAGCAAGUAAACAAGUAACUAAAUACUUAACGCCAAGAAGAAUCACCAUGCACAAGUCCAGAUUAUCCACAUCCACAUAAUAGAUUCCACACCUCUCCCAUGAAUGCACAUGGCUACAGAUGCAAUAAUGACUUCUGCCUCCAUAUCUCUAAGGAUAUGAAGCUGCAUCAUACCCCUUCUCGGGCAACAUAUGAUGCUCAAUGUACCGGUACGGUCGGACCAUAAGAUCGCGACGAAACUUCAAUGCAAUGGAUGAUGAGUGCAUUAUGCAUGACAACAUCAUGAGUUCUUCCCAAAUAAAAUGUGCUAGACAUAUACUUCCACCCAUUCCACAUAAUAACCACUUGAGUAACAUGAUCAAACCUCAAACUCAACAUAUGAAAUCCAUGAAACAUGAACAUUUUCAAAUGAUGGUACUCAAUAAAAAACAUAUGAAUAUGAACACAAUAGCACAACAUAAUCAAGUAUAAGACUCCUCAUUUGACAGACGGAAUAACCAUCACAGUUUUACUUGCCUUUACCGGAAGUUUGGGCAAAUCCAUAAGAACGAUCCGGAAGUCCACCACAUGUUUUUGACACCCAACUUAGUGUACCAAAUUCACAUAAAAAGCCUAAAAAAACAACGCCGCACCUACGCACAGUCUCAAACCCCGCCGCGGGUAAUAAUUCCCCCCCCCCACACCAACCAAACUGCAGCGGCGCUGCUUAACAAUUCCAUAACUUUAAAAUUAAGACAGCAGUGGUGACAACCAAAAACUCCAGAGACAACUACAUACAUUUCCCCACAAGUUUGGUAUACAAUUUAGGAUUAAAUUGUAACAUCUAAUUACCCCUAAACGGUCCACAAGACAACCCCUGCAAUCUGUUUUUUUCCUGAUUUGGGCAGCGACAUAUUCGAAUUCAAAAAGCGAUAACUUUUAAAAUAUAAUUCCGAAUCGAGUGCAUAAGUACUUGUUGGAAAGAUAACAUAAAGCCCUACAUGAUUCUCAUACUGAUUAACACUAAUUACUCCCGAAAAAUCCCCAGAAACUGCUAAUACUGCUGCUGUUUAUCCCCCUGAAAAUCUGUUUUUUUGGACAGCCACAUACCCGGAUUCAAACGGUGAUAACUUUUAAUUUAUAACUCCAAAUUGAGCACAUAAAUACUCGUUGGAAAGGUAUGCCAAAGUUCUACAUGAUUCCCAAACUGAUUCCCCUUAAUUCUCCACGAAAAAUGCCCAGAAAUCACUAAUUCUGCUGCUGUUCGUCCACCCCCUUAAAAUUCUGGACAACCCUUCUACCAAAUCGCACACGCAACAUCUAAACAAUUGGAUUGCCGCACAAAAUGAACAAGAGAUAAACACAAAAAUCACCUUGGGUUCUCCCCCUUUUCUUCCUCCCUUCCUCCCUCCACCGGAAACCGUUGAAGAUUUGCACCACGCGACGGAGAUCCGAGCGGCAACGAAUGGCACCUUGGGAGGAGGAGAUGGGGGCGGCUAGGGUUUGAUGUGUGGCUGCAAGUGCUUGAGAAAGGAGGAGAUGGGAGGGGGGGCGGCGGCCAAGAGGGUAGGGGAAUGGGGG